UUGGACAGGAUGGCCCCAUCACUGUACAUUGCAGUGCUGGGGUAGGAAGGACUGGUGUAUUCAUCACUUUGAGUAUAGUACUGGAGAGGAUGCAGUAUGAAGGUGUUGUAGAUGUGUUCCAGACAGCAAGAAUUUUGCGAACUCAGCGCCCGGCAAUGGUACAAACCGAGGAUCAGUACCAGUUCUGCUACCGUGCCGCUUUGGAAUACCUGGGAUCCUUCGAUCAUUAUACUAAUUAAAUGGCGUAAUGUUCCAUUUGGGAAAACGAGCAGACAAUAACUGCCCACCAUGAUAUUGUUAGCGUAAGCGUAUCAUAAAAUAUAAGCUAACUCGUUUAUGCA
Long non-coding RNA from Leptinotarsa decemlineata (Colorado potato beetle), 341 nucleotides. The record is from RefSeq and is a predicted model, not a curated record. Lineage: Eukaryota; Metazoa; Arthropoda; Insecta; Coleoptera; Chrysomelidae.